RNAcentral lists this ribosomal RNA (461 nucleotides) under uncultured Actinotalea sp. Its description in RNAcentral is "bacterial SSU rRNA". It matches the Rfam family "Bacterial small subunit ribosomal RNA", at positions 920 to 1382 of the family's 1533-position model. Lineage: Bacteria; Bacillati; Actinomycetota; Actinomycetes; Micrococcales; Cellulomonadaceae. The record is from RNAcentral.
CCCGCACAAGCGGCGGAGCAUGCGGAUUAAUUCGAUGCAACGCGAAGAACCUUACCAAGGCUUGACAUAUACCGAAAACUCGUGGAGACACGGGGUCCGCAAGGGCGGUAUACAGGUGGUGCAUGGUUGUCGUCAGCUCGUGUCGUGAGAUGUUGGGUUAAGUCCCGCAACGAGCGCAACCCUCGUCCUAUGUUGCCAGCGGAUCAUGCCGGGGACUCAUAGGAGACUGCCGGGGUCAACUCGGAGGAAGGUGGGGAUGAGGUCAAAUCAUCAUGCCCCUUAUGUCUUGGGCUUCACGCAUGCUACAAUGGCCGGUACAAAGGGCUGCGAUACCGCAAGGUGGAGCGAAUCUCAAAAAGCCGGUCUCAGUUCGGAUUGGGGUCUGCAACUCGACCCCAUGAAGUCGGAGUCGCUAGUAAUCGCAGAUCAGCAACGCUGCGGUGAAUACGUUCCCGGGCCUU